Molecule: ribosomal RNA, 253 nt
Filed under: uncultured bacterium
Lineage: Bacteria
Description: partial 16S ribosomal RNA
Rfam family: Bacterial small subunit ribosomal RNA
Source: RNAcentral
UACGUAGGUUGCGAGCGUUAUUCGGAUUUACUGGGCGUAAAGAGCACCGAGGUGGCUUCUUAAGUUGGAUGUAAAAUCUCCUGGCUUAACUGGGAGGCGCCAUUCAAAACUGAGGAGCUUGAGGUCAGCAGGGGAAGGUGGAAUUCCCGGUGUAGUGGUGGAAUGCGUAGAGAUCGGGAGGAACACCGGUGGCGAAAGCGGCUCACUGGACCUGAUCUGACACUGAGGUGCGAAAGCUAGGGUAGCAAACGGG